This 541-nucleotide long non-coding RNA is filed under the name Elaeis guineensis (African oil palm). RNAcentral's name for it is "long non-coding RNA (EGUI_LNC029630)". The record is from RNAcentral. Lineage: Eukaryota; Viridiplantae; Streptophyta; Magnoliopsida; Arecales; Arecaceae.
AUGGAUGCAUCAUGUAUGUACUAUAUCAUGCUUUGUAUUUGUAUUGUUUCCAUGCUACAAAAUAUAAGAAAAGGAUGCGUCUCCUUUUUCUCACAUAGAUCAAGCAUCAAAAUACAAAAAGAGAUGAUCUAACCCCAUGGAUCAAAGAUUAAAAUACAAGCAAAGACAAUAAAAGCCCAUAGAGUAAGGACCAAAAUACAAAAAAAGAUGAUCAUGCCCUUUUAAAGACUAUUUUCCUCUACAAAUAAUCCGGAGACUAUUUUCCUCUACAAAUAAUCCGGAGUCAAGAUGAAAUAUUUUUUGAUAUUUUUUUACUUUCUUUUGAAGGUCAUUAUAGUUAGUCAUCAGUUUUUUAUAUCUCUUAAUAGAUAAAUGUCAAUUCCAUUGCAACUAUCCAUAUUCAGCAUCAAGAUUAUCAUGAGCAUUGCAAAAUCUCUUAUACAGAUAUCUAAAAUAUUCUUUAUCUUCAUAGUUAAAAUCUUCAAUUCAAAAUUGAACAAACUCUUCAACUUUCAAAUUGCAAACUAAUGAGGGAGGAAAC